ACCUGCAUUCGAAAGUGAUCGCGGUCUGGCCUGUGACCUGGUCAUUGAUAGUGCAGGGAGAGGAACGGCGAGAGCUUUCCCGUGUUUGGGGGGGUCCGUCCCUCUCCCCCAGACCCUGUCGCUGUCGGACA
Molecule: small nucleolar RNA, 131 nt
Filed under: Patagioenas fasciata monilis
Lineage: Eukaryota; Metazoa; Chordata; Aves; Columbiformes; Columbidae
Description: Small nucleolar RNA SNORA71
Rfam family: Small nucleolar RNA SNORA71
About the family: The members of this family belong to the H/ACA class of snoRNAs which bind a number of proteins (including dyskerin, Gar1p and Nop10p) to form snoRNP complexes. This class of snoRNAs are thought to guide the sites of modification of uridines to pseudouridines by forming direct base pairing interactions with substrate RNAs. This family includes U71 (SNORA71), ACA39 (SNORA39) and ACA60 (SNORA60).
Source: Rfam by way of RNAcentral